Daucus carota subsp. sativus is the source of this 111-nucleotide non-coding RNA. NCBI's taxonomy places the organism in Eukaryota, Viridiplantae, Streptophyta, Magnoliopsida, Apiales, Apiaceae. The record is from Rfam.
AUCCCAUGAUGUGGGCACUUUCGCAACAUCUCCUUGUAACGUUCCCAUGCUUCACAUAGAGUUUCUCCAGAUAGCUGAGAGAAUUGAGUGAUAGCAUUCCGCAUUGCAGCU